AUAAUCGCAUUGGUUUCGGCCGGCGAUGGGUCAUUUAAAUUUAUGCCAUAUCAGCUCUGAUGAUAGUGUAGUGGACUAACAUGGCCUAAACGGGUGACGGAGGAUUAGGGUCUGAUUCCGGAGAGGGAGCCUGAGAAAUGGCUACCACUUGCACGGAAGGCAGCAGGCGCGUAAAUUGCCCAAUCCUGACACGGGGAGGUAGUGACAAUAUAUAGCAAUACCGGAUCUUUUCAGGUCUGGUAAUUGGAAUGAUUACAACUUAAACUCUUUAGCAAGGAUCAUUUGGAGGGCAUGUCUGGUGCCAGCAUCCGCGAGUAGUACCAGCUCCAAUAGCGUAUAUUAAAGUUGUUGCAUGUUAAAAGGCUCGUAGUCGAACUUUUAGUUCUUUUGCAUUGUCCCGUUCGUUAGGGAAUGUUUGUGACGUUGUCUAAGGACUUUCAUGGUGUAAACUUUCUUCUGCCCUUUAUCGCGUUGGUUGAAAGAUCUGCCUCAUUUACUGUGAGAGAACAAGGUGCUCCACGCUCGCUUUAUGGCUUAUAGGGCAGAAACUUGAAUGAUCCGU
Molecule: ribosomal RNA, 562 nt
Filed under: Nitzschia paleacea
Lineage: Eukaryota; Bacillariophyta; Bacillariophyceae; Bacillariales; Bacillariaceae
Description: SSU rRNA
Rfam family: Eukaryotic small subunit ribosomal RNA
Source: RNAcentral